Molecule: transfer RNA, 72 nt
Filed under: Loxodonta africana (African savanna elephant)
Lineage: Eukaryota; Metazoa; Chordata; Mammalia; Proboscidea; Elephantidae
Rfam family: tRNA
About the family: Transfer RNA (tRNA) molecules are approximately 80 nucleotides in length. Their secondary structure includes four short double-helical elements and three loops (D, anti-codon, and T loops).
Source: Rfam by way of RNAcentral
GGCUUAUUGGUGUAGGGGUACGAGACUUGCUUAGGGUGCAAGAGGUCACAGGUUCAAAUCCUGGAUGAGCCC